Parus major (Great Tit) is the source of this 907-nucleotide long non-coding RNA. RefSeq lists it as uncharacterized. The record is from RefSeq and is a predicted model, not a curated record. Lineage: Eukaryota; Metazoa; Chordata; Aves; Passeriformes; Paridae. The transcript has 4 exons.
AGGGAGCGGCUGGAAUGGCGGCGGCGGGCAGAGCCCAGAGGAGCAGUGGAAAUGUAGCAGAAACUCUGCACCCUUAGCGGGAGCGCUGGGGGUAUCCCGGCAGGCAGGGGGGCUGAGGUUACGGUGUAGCCAAAAACCCUGAGCGGUGGCGGAGAAGCGGCGGGGCUGGGCAGCAGCAGCCCGGCUCCCGAACAGGCCCGGGAGAGGCUCCCUGGGAGGGGAGGGCUCUGAGGGCCCUGGGUUUUGCCCUGAGGCACCUGAGCAGAUGGUUAGGGUCCUUUCCAUGAGGCCAGGUGUUAAUAGUGGCCCAGUGCAUCGGCCACUCCUACGAGCAGAGCCUCACUCAGGGUAAGGAAGAAGCGGGACAGGGCUGGGCUCCGGCAGUGGCUGUGAAUUCUCCCCACAGUAAGAAACAGCUCGACCAUUCUCUCUGAUGCCGACAGCGAGAGGAGCCGAGCCCAGCCCCUCACCACCCGGCCAAAAUCUCGGGUAUCUCUGCUGUUCCAAAGAGAAAACCCCUCAGGUGUAUAACCCACCAUCCAGAAUCCCUCCAGUGUCAGCUGAAUUCCUCGUGUUCAUAUUCCAAAGAAAACUACUGCAGUUGUCUUCAGCUGUUGCCUCUGUUGGUGGUCCUUGUAGAGGAGCCAAGGGCUGGGGUGAUCUCAGGAGACUGCUCAGGGGGAAUUCAGGGACGAAAAAUUUAAUGGUUGCAGUUUUAUAGUCUUUAUCAGACCAUCACGGCUGUAAUCGAAAGAUAAGAGUCAUCAUCUGUCAUCUCAAUCAAACUUCAAGAGAAAAUCAUUGCAAGAGAGCCUCUGUGCCCAUGGGGAUCUGGGGCUGUGUGACACAGCUAGGGAUGCAGUUGGGCAGGAGCUGCCUCUGACAGCAGCCAAGACAAACCUUUUUU